AGUACCAAAGUGCUCAUAGUGCAGGUAGUUUGGACCUGACUCUACUGUAGUAUGAGCACUUCCAGUACU
This 69-nucleotide microRNA precursor is filed under the name Sorex araneus (European shrew). RNAcentral's name for it is "miRNA (ENSSARG00000015278.1)". It matches the Rfam family "mir-17 microRNA precursor family", at positions 6 to 75 of the family's 80-position model. Rfam says of the family: This family represents the microRNA (miRNA) precursor mir-17, family, which includes mir-20, mir-91, and mir-103. miRNAs are transcribed as ~70nt precursors (modelled here) and subsequently processed by the Dicer enzyme to give a ~22nt product. In this case the mature sequence comes from the 3' arm of the precursor. The extents of the hairpin precursors are not generally known and are estimated based on hairpin prediction. Lineage: Eukaryota; Metazoa; Chordata; Mammalia; Eulipotyphla; Soricidae. The record is from RNAcentral.